UUCAAGUAGGGCUCCCUCAGUGACGAUCCCAUCGACUUAUGACACAUAAUCAGUGCCACUCACAAGUAUAUUAUUUUAUCCUAUUUUAUUUUGCAUAACAGGAAGCACACCUCUUUAUUUCUUAGUGAUCUUGUUGCUUUUAUUUAUAGAUAGAGAUUCGAGUAGGGCUCACUCAAUGACGGUCCCAUUGAUUUAUGACACACAAUCAGUGCCACCUACCACAGAUACAUCAGCAUCAGGAGCCACAGAUACAUCGAUGGUACCAGCAGCAGCAGAUGCAGCAUUAGGAGAAAAUGCCCGAUACAGACAGAGAGUGAUGCAUCUAUUUGGAUUGGAAUUGAGUUAGAGAUUAGGAAAUAUACUUUUGCUGCUGGUGUUGAUCACGCUCUAGUGCGACAUGUGUGGGAGAUUACUGCAAAAGCUCGACUCCAUCAUAUGCUUUUUCUUAUGAGGAAAGAGGCAAAGAAAAAAACAACAUUGAUGAUUUGGCUGAGAUGAUUAAUAAUCCGCUAAAUAGUAUCACCACUAUGAAGUGAAGGAGCUUGGUGGAUAAAUGGAAGAGAAAAGGUUGACAUAUUGUAAUAAUUUCAUGACAUAAUUUUAUACUUAAAAUAUUGAUUUGAUCAAUAAAAUGAUAAGUUUUAUUUUU
Molecule: non-coding RNA, 649 nt
Organism: Elaeis guineensis (African oil palm)
Lineage: Eukaryota; Viridiplantae; Streptophyta; Magnoliopsida; Arecales; Arecaceae
Source: RefSeq, a predicted model, not a curated record